RNAcentral lists this long non-coding RNA (206 nucleotides) under Phascolarctos cinereus (koala). RNAcentral's name for it is "lncRNA (ENSPCIG00000018891.2)". Lineage: Eukaryota; Metazoa; Chordata; Mammalia; Diprotodontia; Phascolarctidae. The record is from RNAcentral.
ACGAGAAUAGAUAGGUCUUAGAGCCAUUUGCCUGAGGAAAUAGUGUUCUUGAUAGCUGGAUAAAUAAUGUUCAGAGUUUCUUUCUGAUCCAUUUACUGUAAUAUCAACCAAAGAAACCAAAGAUACAUUAACAGUGUUUAUUGAAAACAAUGCUUAUCCUGUAUCCUUGUGAAGAAAGUCAUGACAUAACAUUGCACACAUAUGAC